CAUUACUGAGUUUACGCUCUAUAACCCUUUGUGAACAUACCUAUAACUGUUGCUUCGGCGGGUAGGGUCUCCGAGACCCUCCCGGCCUCCCGCCUCCGGGCGGGUCGGCGCCCGCCGGAGGAUAACCAAACUCUGAUUUAACGACGUUUCUUCUGAGUGGUACAAGCAAAUAAUCAAAACUUUUAACAACGGAUCUCUUGGUUCUGGCAUCGAUGAAGAACGCAGCGAAAUGCGAUAAGUAAUGUGAAUUGCAGAAUUCAGUGAAUCAUCGAAUCUUUGAACGCACAUUGCGCCCGCCAGCAUUCUGGCGGGCAUGCCUGUUCGAGCGUCAUUUCAACCCUCAAGCUCUGCUUGGUGUUGGGGCCCUACAGCUGAUGUAGGCCCUCAAAGGUAGUGGCGGACCCUCCCGGAGCCUCCUUUGCGUAGUAACUUUACGUCUCGCACUGGGAUCCGGAGGGACUCUUGCCGUAAAACCCCCCAAUUUUCCAAAGGUUGACCUCGGAUCAGGUAGGAAUACCCGCUGAACUUAAGCAUAUCAA
This 539-nucleotide ribosomal RNA is filed under the name Colletotrichum fructicola. Its description in RNAcentral is "eukaryotic LSU rRNA". The stretch from base 178 to 331 matches the Rfam family "5.8S ribosomal RNA". The record is from RNAcentral. Lineage: Eukaryota; Fungi; Ascomycota; Sordariomycetes; Glomerellales; Glomerellaceae.